This 301-nucleotide ribosomal RNA is filed under the name uncultured bacterium. RNAcentral describes it as "partial 16S ribosomal RNA". It matches the Rfam family "Bacterial small subunit ribosomal RNA", at positions 509 to 807 of the family's 1533-position model. The record is from RNAcentral.
CAGCAGCCGCGGGAAUACAGAGGUCCCGAGCGUUGUUCGGAUUCACUGGGCGUAAAGGGUGUGUAGGAGGUUGGAUAAGUCAAGUGUGAAAUCCCGCAGCUCAACUGCGGAACUGCAUUCGAUACUGUUCAACUAGAGGAUCGGAGGGGGAAGCGGAAUUCUUGGUGUAGCGGUGAAAUGCGUAGAUAUUGGGAAGAACACCGGUGGCGAAGGCGGCAACCUGGUCCUUGACUGACGCUGAGGCGCGAAAGCGUGGGGAGCAAACAGGAUUAGAGACCCCAGUAGUCCCUGUCUCUUAUAC